Molecule: ribosomal RNA, 485 nt
Filed under: Sporobolomyces blumeae
Lineage: Eukaryota; Fungi; Basidiomycota; Microbotryomycetes; Sporidiobolales; Sporidiobolaceae
Description: LSU rRNA
Rfam family: Eukaryotic large subunit ribosomal RNA
Source: RNAcentral
UCUCAAGAAAUGUUUUCCGUGUUAGACCGCAUACAAGUCUCUUGGAACAGAGCGUCAUAGUGGUGAGAACCCAGUACACGAUGCGGAUGCCUAAUACUUUGUGAUACAUUUUCGAAGAGUCGAGUUGUUUGGGAAUGCAGCUCAAAUUGGGUGGUAAAUUCCAUCUAAAGCUAAAUAUUGGCGAGAGACCGAUAGCGAACAAGUACCGUGAGGGAAAGAUGAAAAGCACUUUGGAAAGAGAGUUAACAGUACGUGAAAUUGUUGGAAGGGAAACACAUGCAGUCAGACUUGCUAUUCGGGGCAACUCGAUUGGCAGGCCCGCAUCAGUUUUUCGGGGCGGAAAAGCAUAGAGAGAAGGUAGCAGUUUCGGCUGUGUUAUAGCUCUUUAUUGGAUUCGCCCUGGGGGACUGAGGAACGCAGCGUGCUUUUAGCAUGAGCUUCGGCUUAUCCACGCUUAGGAUGCGGGUGUAAUGGCUGUAUAUGAC